AGAAUCAAAUUCAAUUGGAACCUUUUAUCAUCGUGAAUUGUACGUCAAUUCAGCAAAAUUUACAACUGAAUAAUGUAACUGAUUUCAAGGUUAAUCUAAAAGUGGUGAAAUACAAUUUGAGCAAUUUGUACGAUUUUUUAUUGUACACCCUUCAAACUAAACGGUGACACGGAUUUCCUAAUAUCAAUCAGUGCCAAGUAUACACAUAAAAGUAAUCCAUUGUUUUCAUCUAGAAUGUAUCCAUCGAUCUUAUCAAGCAUUAUCGAAGCCAUAAUUCAGGGCCAACCAGCAUUAGACUCACUCAUACCUGUGCAAGUGAGUCUCACUUCACUCAACUUCACUCAUUUCCACCUCGAACCAAAUUGCCCUUCACUCCCCUCACUCGCGUGAUGGAAGGCUGAGUGAGGCUUCACUCACUGAUAAAUCUCAUUCUCACUCCUUCAUUCCCUUCACUCCCUCAUUCCUCACACGUCACUCAUUCCCCUCGCUCAUCCAUUUCCUUCACUCUUUCUGUCACUCAAUUCAGUCCCUCGUGUCAUCAUAAUUAAAAUAUUUUGGCACCAUCUAGUGGGGUAACGUGAGACUGGACUGGGGCAAUGUGAGAUUCGACUGGGGUACUGUGAGACUGGGUUGGGGCAACGUGAGAUUAGACUGGGGCACGGUGAAAAUUGCAUGGGGUAAUAUGAGACGGUACUAUGUUAAUAUUGCAACGCUUAUUUGAGUAUGUAAACUAACCCAAGCAACCUCAAUGCGAAUUUACUGCGAAUCCCAAUGCAAGUUUAUGCAAUUUUUGUGCAUAAAAAGUUGUAAUCAUUAAUUUGUACAAGAUUCGUGCAAAAUUUGUAUCAAUUUUUGUGCUGCUAAUAUAUUAGCACAAGAAAUCCACGAAACUAUCACAAAUUAAUUAGUAGCAAAUUAUUACAAAGGAACAAGUGAAUAUUUAGUGCGUAUUUGUUAGCACUAAAUUUUCAUGAGAUUUCUUGCACCAAAUAAUUCAUGCAUAAUUCGUACCUGGGAAAUUGUACAAACUCAAAAUGCAGUAAACAGGUGCCAGCAUAUUCACACAAAAUUUGUACCGAUUAUUCUGCAAUAAUUUAGUACUAAAUUAGUAUCAUUUCUCUAUUCGCGAUUAAAUAAACAAACCUCAAGUCAGUUAUUCUUUUUGCCAUGCCGUGACAUCAACUCCAUCAUCUCUUCUCCAUUUUUAAUUUCCAACCAAAAAAUUUCGACAGUUAUGGUCGAAAAUCAAAUUCCUAUUUCGGAUAAAAGUUCCUCGAUUCCUCGAGUUUGAAGGCGACAAAUGAGUGGAGAUUGUGCCGUCUACGUGGAUUUCAAAAGAUUGGACGACUCAUGGCAUGUGAUAUGUCGAAAAAUACGAUUCAUACGUUGGGAACACAUACAAGGAAUAAACCUAUCGACUCAUGUGAUAACGGCAAACGGGAUCGCCCUAAAUUAUCAGAAAAAGAGCCUGAGGUGAAUAAUGAGGCAUUUCUCAGGAAUUCAUUUUAAUUUAGUCUUUCUCUAUACGCCGUAAGUAAGUAUUCUACCGAUUAAUUUCGAUAAAUAUUUGUGUAUCCCAAUUUGCAAUUAUCUGUUAAUUAGUUAAGUAUUUGGAGAUACCUAACAUUAUUGUAGAAAUAUGUACGA
Long non-coding RNA from Folsomia candida, 1647 nucleotides. RefSeq lists it as uncharacterized. The record is from RefSeq and is a predicted model, not a curated record. The transcript is spliced from 3 exons. NCBI's taxonomy places the organism in Eukaryota, Metazoa, Arthropoda, Collembola, Entomobryomorpha, Isotomidae.